Molecule: RNA transcript, 299 nt
Organism: Tribolium castaneum (red flour beetle)
Lineage: Eukaryota; Metazoa; Arthropoda; Insecta; Coleoptera; Tenebrionidae
Exons: 3
Source: RefSeq, a predicted model, not a curated record
AGAGAAGAUCACCGUUUAUACUCACAGCUCUGGGGGCCGCAGGACUCGUAGGAGCAGGACUUGUCGGUGCAGGAGUGGUCGGGCUUGCAGGAGCAGGACUUGUGGGGGCAGGACUCGGAGCUAAAGCCGGAUUUGCAGCAGGAGCCUUGACGGGAGCUGCGGCCAGGUCCUAUGGGGGUGCUUACUAUUACAGCAACUAUGAACCAAGGAACUACGAGUACAGAGCCAAUUUACGAGUACGAGUGUAGCAGGUGUGGACGCACCGUAUAGUUUUAGUAUAAAUAAAUUAAUUAAAACUA